GAUGAAGAACGUAGUGAAAUGCGAUAAGUAAUGUGAAUUGCAGAAUUCAGUGAAUCAUCGAAUCUUGAACGCAUCUUGCGCUCCUUGGUAUUCCGAGGAGCAUGCCUGUUUGAGUGUCAUCAAGUUCUCAAACUGCAUCCAUUUGAAGGGUGUGGAUUUGGAUUAUGGAGUUUGCAGGCUCUUUGAUUGAGGUCUGCUCCUCUGAAAUGUAUUAGUGGCGAUGUGGAAAAGCUACUGUGGGUGUGAUAAAUAUCUAUGCCUUAUGCAGUGUUCUGCUAUGCCGCUUGCAGGGAGAAAUUUCAUUUUUGACAAACUUGACCUCAAAUCAGGUAGGACUACCCGCUGAACUUAAGCAUAUCAAUAAGCGGAGGA
Molecule: unclassified non-coding RNA, 372 nt
Filed under: soil metagenome
Description: partial contains 5.8S ribosomal RNA, internal transcribed spacer 2, and large subunit ribosomal RNA
Rfam family: 5.8S ribosomal RNA (bases 1-119)
Source: RNAcentral